RNAcentral lists this small RNA (127 nucleotides) under Marmota monax (woodchuck). Lineage: Eukaryota; Metazoa; Chordata; Mammalia; Rodentia; Sciuridae. The record is from RNAcentral.
GCUGGGUGUGGUGGUGCACACCUGUAAUCCCAGUGUCUCUGGAGGCUAAGGCAGGAGGAUUGCAAGUUCAAAGCCAGCCUCAGCAACUUAGGGAAGCCCUAAGCAACUCAGUGAGACCCCGUCUCUA